This 429-nucleotide ribosomal RNA is filed under the name Pseudomonadota bacterium. Its description in RNAcentral is "Proteobacteria bacterium partial 16S ribosomal RNA". It matches the Rfam family "Bacterial small subunit ribosomal RNA", at positions 355 to 776 of the family's 1533-position model. The record is from RNAcentral. Lineage: Bacteria; Pseudomonadati; Pseudomonadota.
UGGGGAAUAUUGGACAAUGGGCGAAAGCCUGAUCCAGCCAUGCCGCGUGUGUGAAGAAGGUCUUCGGAUUGUAAAGCACUUUAAGUUGGGAGGAAGGGCAGUAAGCGAAUACCUUGCUGUUUUGACGUUACCGACAGAAUAAGCACCGGCUAACUCUGUGCCAGCAGCCGCGGUAAUACAGAGGGUGCAAGCGUUAAUCGGAAUUACUGGGCGUAAAGCGCGCGUAGGUGGUUCGUUAAGUUGAAUGUGAAAGCCCCGGGCUCAACCUGGGAACUGCAUCCAAAACUGGCGAGCUAGAGUAGGGCAGAGGGUGGUGGAAUUUCCUGUGUAGCGGUGAAAUGCGUAGAUAUAGGAAGGAACACCAGUGGCGAAGGCGACCACCUGGGCUCAUACUGACACUGAGGUGCGAAAGCGUGGGGAGCAAUCAGG